RNAcentral lists this ribosomal RNA (497 nucleotides) under uncultured bacterium. Its description in RNAcentral is "partial 16S ribosomal RNA". It matches the Rfam family "Bacterial small subunit ribosomal RNA", at positions 28 to 507 of the family's 1533-position model. The record is from RNAcentral.
GAUGAACGCCGGCGGCGUGCCUAAUACAUGCAAGUCGAGCGAACAGAUGAGGAGCUUGCUCCUCUGACGUUAGCGGCGGACGGGUGAGUAACACAUGGAUAACCUACCUAUAAGACUGGGAUAACUUCGGGAAACCGGAGCUAAUACCGGAUAAUAUAUUGAACCGCAUGGUUCAAUAGUGAAAGACGGUUUUGCUGUCACUUAUAGAUGGAUCCGCGCCGCAUUAGCUAGUUGGUAAGGUAACGGCUUACCAAGGCAACGAUGCGUAGCCGACCUGAGAGGGUGAUCGGCCACACUGGAACUGAGACACGGUCCAGACUCCUACGGGAGGCAGCAGUAGGGAAUCUUCCGCAAUGGGCGAAAGCCUGACGGAGCAACGCCGCGUGAGUGAUGAAGGUCUUCGGAUCGUAAAACUCUGUUAUUAGGGAAGAACAAAUGUGUAAGUAACUAUGCACGUCUUGACGGUACCUAAUCAGAAAGCCACGGCUAACUACGUG